RNAcentral lists this ribosomal RNA (652 nucleotides) under Salmonella enterica. RNAcentral's name for it is "partial 23S ribosomal RNA". It matches the Rfam family "Bacterial large subunit ribosomal RNA", at positions 1 to 677 of the family's 2925-position model. The record is from RNAcentral. RNAcentral also lists the same sequence under 2 other names. Lineage: Bacteria; Pseudomonadati; Pseudomonadota; Gammaproteobacteria; Enterobacterales; Enterobacteriaceae.
GGUUAAGCGACUAAGCGUACACGGUGGAUGCCCUGGCAGUCAGAGGCGAUGAAGGACGUGCUAAUCUGCGAUAAGCGCCGGUAAGGUGAUAUGAACCGUUAUAACCGGCGAUUUCCGAAUGGGGAAACCCAGUGUGACUCGUCACACUAUCAUUAACUGAAUCCAUAGGUUAAUGAGGCGAACCGGGGGAACUGAAACAUCUAAGUACCCCGAGGAAAAGAAAUCAACCGAGAUUCCCCCAGUAGCGGCGAGCGAACGGGGAUGAGCCCAGAGCCUGAAUCAGCAUGUGUGUUAGUGGAAGCGUCUGGAAAGGCGCGCGAUACAGGGUGACAGCCCCGUACACAAAAGCGCAUAUGCUGUGAGCUCGAUGAGUAGGGCGGGACACGUGGUAUCCUGUCUGAAUAUGGGGGGACCAUCCUCCAAGGCUAAAUACUCCUGACUGACCGAUAGUGAACCAGUACCGUGAGGGAAAGGCGAAAAGAACCCCGGCGAGGGGAGUGAAAAAGAACCUGAAACCGUGUACGUACAAGCAGUGGGAGCCCCACCACUAAGCCAGUGGUGAACUCCACAUACGCAUCCUUUGCUGAGGAUGCGGUUAACGGAGCGAAAGCGACGUUCAACCGCAAAAGAAGCAGAGGGGGCUUAGUGGUGG